This is a non-coding RNA of Hordeum vulgare subsp. vulgare (domesticated barley), 126 nucleotides long. Lineage: Eukaryota; Viridiplantae; Streptophyta; Magnoliopsida; Poales; Poaceae. The record is from Rfam.
GAUAUACUCCCUCCGUCCGGAAAUACUUGCCAUAGGAAUGGAUGUAUCUAGAUGUAUUUCAGUUCUAGAUACAUCCAUUUUUUAUACAUUUAUGCGACAAGUAAUUCCGGAGAGAUGGAGUACUAU